Long non-coding RNA from Thalassophryne amazonica, 360 nucleotides. RefSeq lists it as uncharacterized. The record is from RefSeq and is a predicted model, not a curated record. NCBI's taxonomy places the organism in Eukaryota, Metazoa, Chordata, Actinopteri, Batrachoidiformes, Batrachoididae. The transcript has 3 exons.
CUCGCAAAAUACACAGCCAGAAACCAGAAGUCAGAGACCCUCUCCACACAGUCCCCACCAAUGACCAGUGGCUGAAUGUUUCGUUUUUUCUCCUCCUGUAGUCCACGACUAUCUCCUUUGUCUUUGAGGUGUUCAGGAUCAGGUGUUCUCCCUGUACCACACAGACAGCCGCUGCACCUCCUCUCUAUAAGUGGUCUCAUCACCUCCAGAAUUGAGUCCCACCAUCGGUGGUGUCAUCAGCAAACUUGAUGAUAUCGUUGCUGGGGUGAGAGGGGGUGUAGUCGUAAGUAUAGAGGGUGUAGAGCAAAGGGCUCAGCCCACAGCCCUGAGGAGAGCCGGUGCUGAGGCUAAUGGCUGAGG